GUGAACGCUGGCGGUAGGCCUAACACAUGCAGGUCGAACGGCAGCACAGUAAGAGCUUGCUCUUACGGGUGGCGAGUGGCGGACGGGUGAGGAAUACAUCGGAAUCUACUUUUUCGUGGGGGAUAACGUAGGGAAACUUACGCUAAUACCGCAUACGACCUACGGGUGAAAGCAGGGGAUCUUCGGACCUUGCGCGAUUGAAUGAGCCGAUGUCGGAUUAGCUAGUUGGCGGGGUAAAGGCCCACCAAGGCGACGAUCCGUAGCUGGUCUGAGAGGAUGAUCAGCCACACUGGAACUGGGACACGGUCCAGACUCCUACGGGAGGCAGCAGUGGGGAAUAUUGGACAAUGGGCGCAAGCCUGAUCCAGCCAUACCGCGUGGGUGAAGAAGGCCUUCGGGUUGUAAAGCCCUUUUGUUGGGAAAGAAAAGCAGCAGGUUAAUACCCCGCUGUUCUGACGGUACCCAAAGAAUAAGCACCGGCUAACUUCGUG
Molecule: ribosomal RNA, 491 nt
Filed under: uncultured bacterium
Lineage: Bacteria
Description: partial 16S ribosomal RNA
Rfam family: Bacterial small subunit ribosomal RNA
Source: RNAcentral